GUUAAACUCGAUGUCCUAGUGAAGGUGAAUAAGUGUAAGGUUAAAUGAGAUAAGUUAAAUGGAAAAUUGUGUGUUCAAUAUAAUAAUAAGUGAAAUUUGUUUAUUAAGUUAAAAAAUUGAAUGCAAGUUUUAUUCGACUUAAAUUGAAGCCUAGAAAAUUUAGGUAAGGACCAGGAUUAGAUACCCUGUUACUCUAAUAGGAGCAAAUAAUGUAAGACUUGAGUAUUAGUAAUAAAUUAAUUUUAAAUUCAAAGAACCUGGCGGUACUUUAGUCUAGUUGGAGGAACCUGUUUUAUAAACGAUAAACCACGUAAAAUCUUUCUUAUUCUCGUAUAGUUAGUAUACCUUCAUUACAGAUAAUCUUGAUUGAUUGAUUAUUGUAAGCGGUUGAUAAACCAAGUAAAUUAGAUCAAGGUGCUGCAAAUGAAUAAGUAAAAAUGGGUUACAAUGGUUUUUAACGUUAAGCGGAUUAUAUUUAGGAUAAAUAUAUGAAGAUGGAUUCAAUUGUAAUUUUAACUUUAAUAAGGUAAAAUGGUAUUAGCUCUAAAGUGUGUACAUAUUGCCCGUCGCUUUCAUUAAGUUAAAUGAGAUAAGUCGUACAAAAGUA
Molecule: ribosomal RNA, 607 nt
Filed under: Panulirus homarus (Indian spiny lobster)
Lineage: Eukaryota; Metazoa; Arthropoda; Malacostraca; Decapoda; Palinuridae
Description: partial 12S ribosomal RNA
Source: RNAcentral